This 247-nucleotide ribosomal RNA is filed under the name uncultured Pseudomonas sp. RNAcentral's name for it is "partial 16S ribosomal RNA". It matches the Rfam family "Bacterial small subunit ribosomal RNA", at positions 1137 to 1382 of the family's 1533-position model. The record is from RNAcentral. Lineage: Bacteria; Pseudomonadati; Pseudomonadota; Gammaproteobacteria; Pseudomonadales; Pseudomonadaceae.
ACUCUAAGGAGACUGCCGGUGACAAACCGGAGGAAGGUGGGGAGUGACGUCAAGUCAUCAUGGCCCUUACGGCCUGGGCUACACACGUGCUACAAUGGUCGGUACAAAGGGUUGCCAAGCCGCGAGGUGGAGCUAAUCCCAUAAAACCGAUCGUAGUCCGGAUCGCAGUCUGCAACUCGACUGCGUGAAGUCGGAAUCGCUAGUAAUCGUGAAUCAGAAUGUCACGGUGAAUACGUUCCCGGGCCUU